This 359-nucleotide ribosomal RNA is filed under the name uncultured bacterium. RNAcentral's name for it is "bacterial SSU rRNA". It matches the Rfam family "Bacterial small subunit ribosomal RNA", at positions 1 to 334 of the family's 1533-position model. The record is from RNAcentral.
GACGUAUGUUCAGAGUUUGAUCCUGGCUCAGGACGAACGCUGGCGGCGUGCCUAACACAUGCAAGUCGAACGGAGACUUUAAGAACGAGAAUUUCGGUUCAAGUUUUUAAUGUUCUUAGUGGCGGACGGGUGAGUAACGCGUGAGCAAUCUGCCUUUCAGAGGGGGAUAACACUCUGAAAAGAGUGCUAAUACCGCAUAAUGUGCCAUGGUGGCAUCACCGAGGCACCAAAGGAGCAAUCCGCUGAAAGAUGAGCUCGCGUCCAAUUAGGUAGUUGGUGGGGUAACGGCCCACCAAGCCGACGAUUGGUAGCCGGACUGAGAGGUUGAACGGCCACAUUGGGACUGAGACACGGCCCAG